RNAcentral lists this ribosomal RNA (468 nucleotides) under uncultured bacterium. Its description in RNAcentral is "partial 16S ribosomal RNA". It matches the Rfam family "Bacterial small subunit ribosomal RNA", at positions 28 to 507 of the family's 1533-position model. The record is from RNAcentral.
GACGAACGCUGGCGGCGUGCUUAACACAUGCAAGUCGAACGGAAAGGCCCUGCUUUUGUGGGGUGCUCGAGUGGCGAACGGGUGAGUAACACGUGAGUAACCUGCCCUUGACUUUGGGAUAACUUCAGGAAACUGGGGCUAAUACCGGAUAGGAGCCCCUGCUGCAUGGUGGGGGUUGGAAAGUUUCGGCGGUUGGGGAUGGACUCGCGGCUUAUCAGCUUGUUGGUGGGGUAGUGGCUUACCAAGGCUUUGACGGGUAGCCGGCCUGAGAGGGUGACCGGCCACAUUGGGACUGAAAUACGGCCCAGACUCCUACGGGAGGCAGCAGUGGGGAAUAUUGCAUAAUGGGCGGAAGCCUGAUGCAGCAACGCCGCGUGCGGGAUGACGGCCUUCGGGUUGUAAACCGCUUUCGCCUGUGACGAAGCGUGAGUGACGGUAAUGGGUAAAGAAGCACCGGCUAACUACGUG